Molecule: ribosomal RNA, 250 nt
Filed under: uncultured bacterium
Lineage: Bacteria
Description: partial 16S ribosomal RNA
Rfam family: Bacterial small subunit ribosomal RNA
Source: RNAcentral
AGUGAACGCUGGCGGCAUGCCUAACACAUGCAAGUCGAACGAAUGAAUCUGGUUCGCCAGGUUCGUGAGUGGCAGACGGGUGAGUAAUACAUAGGAAUCUGCCUUGUAGUGGGGAAUAACUGUUGGAAGCAACAGCUAAUACCCCAUAUUGCCGAGAGGUGAAAGAUUUAUCGCUACAAGAUGAGCCUAUGCAAGAUUAGCUAGUUGGUGGGGUAAAGGCCUACCAAGGCUGUGAUCUUUAGUUGGUCUG